AGAGUUUGAUCCUGGCUCAGGACGAACGCUGGCGGCGUGCUUAACACAUGCAAGUCGAACGGAAAGGCCCUUCGGGGUACUCGAGUGGCGAACGGGUGAGUAACACGUGGGUGAUCUGCCCUGCACUUUGGGAUAAGCCUGGGAAACUGGGUCUAAUACCGAAUAUGACCAUGCACUUCCUGGUGUGUGGUGGAAAGCUUUUGCGGUGUGGGAUGGGCCCGCGGCCUAUCAGCUUGUUGGUGGGGUAAUGGCCUACCAAGGCGACGACGGGUAGCCGGCCUGAGAGGGUGACCGGCCACACUGGGACUGAGAUACGGCCCAGACUCCUACGGGAGGCAGCAGUGGGGAAUAUUGCACAAUGGGCGCAAGCCUGAUGCAGCGACGCCGCGUGAGGGAUGACGGCCUUCGGGUUGUAAACCUCUUUCAGCACAGACGAAGCGCGAGUGACGGUAUGUGCAGAGGAAGGACCGGCCAACUACGUGCCAGCAGCCGCGGUAAUACGUAGGGUCCGAGCGUUGUCCGGAAUUACUGGGCGUAAAGAGCUCGUAGGUGGUUUGUCGCGUUGUUCGUGAAAACUCACAGCUUAACUGUGGGCGUGCGGGCGAUACGGGCAGACUGGAGUACUGCAGGGGAGACUGGAAUUCCUGGUGUAGCGGUGGAAUGCGCAGAUAUCAGGAGGAACACCGGUGGCGAAGGCGGGUCUCUGGGCAGUAACUGACGCUGAGGAGCGAAAGCGUGGGGAGCGAACAGGAUUAGAUACCCUGGUAGUCC
Molecule: ribosomal RNA, 771 nt
Filed under: uncultured bacterium
Lineage: Bacteria
Description: bacterial SSU rRNA
Rfam family: Bacterial small subunit ribosomal RNA
Source: RNAcentral